This 405-nucleotide ribosomal RNA is filed under the name Bacillus velezensis. Its description in RNAcentral is "bacterial SSU rRNA". It matches the Rfam family "Bacterial small subunit ribosomal RNA", at positions 394 to 790 of the family's 1533-position model. Lineage: Bacteria; Bacillati; Bacillota; Bacilli; Caryophanales; Bacillaceae. The record is from RNAcentral.
ACGCCGCGUGAGUGAUGAAGGUUUUCGGAUCGUAAAGCUCUGUUGUUAGGGAAGAACAAGUGCCGUUCAAAUAGGGCGGCACCUUGACGGUACCUAACCAGAAAGCCACGGCUAACUACGUGCCAGCAGCCGCGGUAAUACGUAGGUGGCAAGCGUUGUCCGGAAUUAUUGGGCGUAAAGGGCUCGCAGGCGGUUUCUUAAGUCUGAUGUGAAAGCCCCCGGCUCAACCGGGGAGGGUCAUUGGAAACUGGGGAACUUGAGUGCAGAAGAGGAGAGUGGAAUUCCACGUGUARCGGUGAAAKGCGUARAGAUGUGGAGGAACMCCAGUGGCGAAGGCRACUCUCUGGUCUGUARCUGAMGCUGAGGAGCGAAAGCGUGGGGAGCGAACAGGAUUAGAUACCCUGG